RNAcentral lists this unclassified non-coding RNA (346 nucleotides) under soil metagenome. RNAcentral's name for it is "partial contains 5.8S ribosomal RNA, internal transcribed spacer 2, and large subunit ribosomal RNA". The stretch from base 1 to 120 matches the Rfam family "5.8S ribosomal RNA", at positions 35 to 154 of the family's 154-position model. The record is from RNAcentral.
GAUGAAGAACGUAGCAAAAUGCGAUAAGUAAUGUGAAUUGCAGAAUUCAGUGAAUCAUCGAAUCUUUGAACGCACAUUGCGCCCGCCAGUAUUCUGGCGGGCAUGCCUGUUCGAGCGUCAUUUCAACCCUCAAGCCCUCGGGUUUGGUGUUGGGGAUCGGCGAGCCUUUCUGGCAAGCCGGCCCCGAAAUCUAGUGGCGGUCUCGCUGCAGCCUCCAUUGCGUAGUAGUAAAACCCUCGCAACCGGAACGCGGCGCGGCCAAGCCGUUAAACCCCCAACUUCUGAAUGUUGACCUCGGAUCAGGUAGGAAUACCCGCUGAACUUAAGCAUAUCAAUAAGCGGAGGA